AGAUUAAUCAUCUACCAUUAUACGUUGAAUACAUAGGCGUAUAAGGCGACACCUGCUGAACUGAAACAUCUUAGUAAGCAGAGGAAAAUAAAUCAAAGAGAUUCCCUAAGUAGCGGCGAGCGAAAGGGGAGAAGACCAAACCACAUUUUUAAUGUGGGGUUGUAGGGUCGAUAACAUGGGAUCUUAAGUUUUAGUUGAAUACUUCUGGAAAGUAGAACGAUACAGGGUGAUAGUCCCGUAGACGAAAAAACAAGAGACUCUAUUCGAUACCUGAGUAGGGCUAGACACGUGAAACCUAGUCUGAAUCUGGGGAGACCACUCUCCAAGUCUAAAUACUAGUCAAUGACCUAUAGUGAACCAGUACUGUGAAGGAAAGGUGAAAAGAACCCUUGUUAAGGGAGUGAAAUAGAACCUGAAACCAGUAGCUUAUAAGCGGUCGAAGACCUAUAACUUCUUAGGAAGUCAUGGUUGACGGCGUGCCUUUUGCAUGAUGAGCCAGGGAGUUAAGUUAAACGGCGAGGUUAAGGGAUUUACAUUCCGGAGCCGAAGCGAAAGCGAGUUUUAAAAGAGCGUUUAGUCGUUUGAUUUAGACACGAAACCAAGUGAGCUAUUUAUGACCAGGUUGAAGCAUGGGUAAGACCUUGUGGAGGACCGAACCAGUACAUGUUGAAAAAUGUUUGGAUGAGUUGUGAAUAGGGGUGAAAGGCCAAUCAAACUUGGAGAUAUCUUGUUCUCUCCGAAAUAACUUUAGGGUUAGCCUCGGAUAUUAAGCUUUUGGGGGUAGAGCACUGAAUUCUAGCGGGGGCCUACCGGCUUACCAACGGAAAUCAAACUCCGAAUACCAAAAGCGAGUCCGGGAGAUAGACAGCGGGGGCUAAGCUUCGUUGUCGAGAGGGGAACAGCCCAGACCGCCGAUUAAGGUCCCAAAUUUUAUGCUAAGUGAGUAAGGAAGUGAUGAUUCUAAGACAGUUGGAAUGUUGGCUUAGAGGCAGCAAUCAUUUAAAGAGUGCGUAACAGCUCACCAAUCGAGAAUCAUUGCGCCAAUAAUAAUCGGGGCUCAAGCAUAAAACCGAAAUCGCGGGUGUAUAUUUAUAUAUACGCGGUAGGAGAGCGUAGUAUUCAGCAGUGAAGGUAUACCGUAAGGAGUGCUGGAGCGGAUACUAGUGAAGAUCCAUGGCAUAAGUAACGAUAAAGGAAGUGAAAAUCUUCCUCGCCGUAAGCACAAGGUUUCCAGGGUCAAGCUCGUCUUCCCUGGGUUAGUCGGCCCCUAAGUCGAGGCACAAAUGCGUAGACGAUGGAGCAACAGGUUAAAUAUUCCUGUACCACCUAAAACUUUAGCAAUGGAAUGACGGAGUACGUUAAGCACGCGGACGAUUGGAAAUGUCCGUAUCACAAUGAGACCGGUUAGUAGGCAAAUCCGCUAACAUAAGGUUAGGUUGUGGUUAAGGGAAAUCUUCGGAGGAACUGAUAGUGUGGCGCAAGGCUUUCAAGAAAUAAUUUCUAGCUGUUGAUGGUGACCGUACCUAAACCGACACAGGUGUGCGAGAUGAGUAUUCUAAGGCGCGCGAGAUAACUUUCGUUAAGGAACUCGGCAAAUUAUCCCCGUAACUUCGGAAGAAGGGGAGCCUCUUAGGGUGAUUGCCUUUACGGCAUGAGCUCCGGGGGGCCGCAGAGAAAUGGCCCAGGCGACUGUUUAACAAAAACACAGCACUAUGCAAACCUCUAAGGGGAAGUAUAUGGUGUGACGCCUGCCCAAUGC
This 1759-nucleotide ribosomal RNA is filed under the name uncultured Chlamydia sp. Its description in RNAcentral is "partial 23S ribosomal RNA". It matches the Rfam family "Bacterial large subunit ribosomal RNA", at positions 133 to 1869 of the family's 2925-position model. The record is from RNAcentral. Lineage: Bacteria; Pseudomonadati; Chlamydiota; Chlamydiia; Chlamydiales; Chlamydiaceae.